CAGCCGCCACGGUAAUGCGUAGGUGGCAAGCGUUGUCCGGAAUUAUUGGGCGUAAAGGGAGCGCAGGCGGACAUAUAAGUCCAUCUUAAAAGUGCGGGGCUCAACCCCGUGAGGGGAUGGAAACUGUAAGCCUUGAGUGCAGGAGAGGAAAGCGGAAUUCCCAGUGUAGCGGUGAAAUGCGUAGAUAUUGGGAGGAACACCAGUGGCGAAGGCGGCUUUCUGGACUGUAACUGACGCUGAGGCUCGAAAGCCAGGGGAGCGAACGGGAUUAGAUACCCGUGUAGUCCCUGUCUCUUAUACA
RNAcentral lists this ribosomal RNA (301 nucleotides) under uncultured bacterium. Its description in RNAcentral is "partial 16S ribosomal RNA". It matches the Rfam family "Bacterial small subunit ribosomal RNA", at positions 509 to 809 of the family's 1533-position model. The record is from RNAcentral.